UUCAAGGAUUUGUAAGAAAUGUUUGAGGAAUCUGACUCGGUGUUAAACACAGUCAGUUUCUUCAAACAUUUUUUUACAAAUCCUUCAA
Molecule: non-coding RNA, 88 nt
Organism: Paramuricea clavata
Lineage: Eukaryota; Metazoa; Cnidaria; Anthozoa; Malacalcyonacea; Plexauridae
Source: the annotation of a GenBank genome assembly